This 95-nucleotide small nuclear RNA is filed under the name Tursiops truncatus (common bottlenose dolphin). Lineage: Eukaryota; Metazoa; Chordata; Mammalia; Artiodactyla; Delphinidae. RNAcentral also lists the same sequence under 1 other name. The record is from RNAcentral.
GCGUACAGCAGCGCGUCUACUAAAUUGAAACAAUACAGAGAAGAUUAACAUGGCCCCGGCCCAAGGACUUUCUUUGUUUUCUGUUUUGGUUCUUU